GGAAUAUUGGUCAAUGGGCGGAAGCCUGAUCCAGCCAUGCCGCGUGCAGGAUAAGGUCCUAUGGAUUGUAAACUGCUUUUGUACGGGAGCAAUAAGGUCCACGUGUGGGUCGAUGAGAGUACCGUACGAAUAAGCAUCGGCUAACUCCGUGCCAGCAGCCGCGGUAAUACGGAGGAUGCGAGCGUUAUCCGGAUUCAUUGGGUUUAAAGGGUGCGUAGGCGGCGUGCCAAGUCAGGGGUGAAAGGUUCCGGCUCAACUGGGACAGUGCCUUUGAUACUGGUGUGCUGGAGUGCGCUUGCCGUGGGAGGAAUGAGUGGUGUAGCGGUGAAAUGCUUAGAUAUCACUCAGAACACCGAUUGCGAAGGCAUCUCACGAAGGCGUAACUGACGCUGAGGCACGAAAGCGUGGGGAUCAAACA
RNAcentral lists this ribosomal RNA (418 nucleotides) under uncultured bacterium. RNAcentral's name for it is "bacterial SSU rRNA". It matches the Rfam family "Bacterial small subunit ribosomal RNA", at positions 358 to 774 of the family's 1533-position model. The record is from RNAcentral.